Molecule: regulatory RNA element, 91 nt
Organism: Enterococcus aquimarinus
Lineage: Bacteria; Bacillati; Bacillota; Bacilli; Lactobacillales; Enterococcaceae
Rfam family: SAM-III riboswitch aptamer (SMK box)
Source: Rfam
UAGCGUUGCAAGUUCCCGAGAGGAUUCACUUCAUUGUAAACAAAGUGGAGAUGCCUUGUAACCGAAAAUUAAUCAGGGGGAAUCAAAAUUG